CCCUUAGAUGUUCUGGGCAGCACGCGCGCUACAAUGGUCUUCUCAAACGGAUGCAUUCUCGAAGGAGAAUGCCAAUCUUGGAAUCUAUGCCUUGGUCGGGACAGUUGCUUGCAAUUUUUCGACUCGAACCAGGAAUUCCUUGUAAUCGUGAUUCAUCACAUCACGAUGAAUACGUCCCUGCCCUUUGUACACACCGCCCGUCGCUCCUACCGAUCGAAGAGUUAGGUGAAUUGUUUUGAUCGAUAAGAUUUGACUAUGGUCAACUCUCGUUGUGAAAUUCUGUGAAUCUGACUGUUUAGAGGAAGGAAAAGUCGUAACA
This 319-nucleotide ribosomal RNA is filed under the name uncultured eukaryote. Its description in RNAcentral is "partial 18S ribosomal RNA". It matches the Rfam family "Eukaryotic small subunit ribosomal RNA", at positions 1470 to 1796 of the family's 1831-position model. The record is from RNAcentral.